Molecule: microRNA precursor, 102 nt
Filed under: Poecilia formosa (Amazon molly)
Lineage: Eukaryota; Metazoa; Chordata; Actinopteri; Cyprinodontiformes; Poeciliidae
Description: microRNA 29c (ENSPFOG00000021655.1)
Rfam family: mir-29 microRNA precursor family (bases 15-81)
About the family: This family represents the microRNA (miRNA) precursors mir-29. Animal miRNAs are transcribed as ~70nt precursors and subsequently processed by the Dicer enzyme to give a ~22nt product.
Source: RNAcentral
GACCCUCUAAUCAAGGCUGACCGUUUUCCUCUGGUGUUCAGAGUUUCCAUCAUGUCUAGCACCAUUUGAAAUCGGUUACAAUGUGGGGGGAAAAUCAACAUU